This 253-nucleotide unclassified non-coding RNA is filed under the name uncultured Bacteroidia bacterium. RNAcentral describes it as "contains 16S-23S intergenic spacer region". It matches the Rfam family "Bacterial small subunit ribosomal RNA", at positions 524 to 776 of the family's 1533-position model. The record is from RNAcentral. Lineage: Bacteria; Pseudomonadati; Bacteroidota; Bacteroidia.
UACGGAGGGUGCAAGCGUUAUCCGGAUUCAUUGGGUUUAAAGGGUACGUAGGCGGAAUGAUAAGUCAGUGGUGAAAGCCCGCAGCUUAACUGCGGAACUGCCAUUGAUACUGCCAUUCUUGAGUGCAGCUGAGGCAGGCGGAAUGUGACAUGUAGCGGUGAAAUGCAUAGAUAUGUCACAGAACACCGAUUGCGAAGGCAGCUUACCAAACUGUAACUGACGCUCAGGUACGAAAGCGUGGGGAGCAAACAGG